AUGAUGACAUGGAAAAAUGAAACACGCAAGAAAAUUACAUGGAAACAAUGGCGAAUAACUGGCGGACACCUGGCGCAUCGAAUCCGGGGUGUUACACAAUUCAGCCAUGCCUAG
This 114-nucleotide ribosomal RNA is filed under the name Triticum aestivum (bread wheat). RNAcentral describes it as "partial small subunit ribosomal RNA". The record is from RNAcentral. Lineage: Eukaryota; Viridiplantae; Streptophyta; Magnoliopsida; Poales; Poaceae.